AUGCCAGGUGCAUUUGGAGAAAGAGAAAACUUGGGGACAGAGGAAGAAGAAAAGCCAAUAUUUGCUCUUGGUAUCUGUCUGUUAAAACAACUUAUGCAGAUCACACUGGGGAGAACAAGCAAGGAGAGGGGAAAGGAGAGGGACAAGCAGACUCCUCACUGAGCACACAGAGCCCAACAUGGAGCUCGAUUCUGCAACCCGGAGGUCAUGACCCUGAGCCAAAACCAAGAGUUGGCCACUUAACUGACUGAGCCACCCAAGCACCCCUCAGAAUUAGUUUUUGAUUAAGUGCUGGUGCUUUAGGUCAUGGUGAUUGAUACUAUAGUUCUUGCCCUCUACAGAUAUUUUUCUUCCCCUAUAAUCUCUGUGGUUGGAAGUCCAGUAAGAUCACCAAAAGAAAAGUAGGUCAAAGUUCCCUGAUAUUUUGAAGUGGAGGCCAAUUACAUCUGGAAAAGAUCUUUGUAAGAAGUGGAAUUACAGAUGGACCGUGGAUAUUGACCACCUGUGGUGAUUCAAUUUAACACUUGGGAUUCAUGGUUGUAGGCUUGCAAAGACAAUGUCAAUAAAAUCUAACACUUUUUGAGUGCUUGGUAUGUUCUAGGCAUGCUGCUAUAGACUCUAUAGAUUUAAUCUUCACAAUAGCCCCAUGGGUCAGAUACUAUUAGUACUGCUAUUUUAUAGAUAGAUCUAUAGAUAGAUAUUUUAUAGAUAAGACAACACUAACAUAGAAAGGUCAAGCAACUUGCCUAAAGUCACACAGCUGCUAAGCGUGUGAGAAAGGAUUUACAAGUUGUCAGGCCAGGUUACAGAACCCAGUUACCACUAUAUAAUACAAACUCUGGAAUGCUGCAGAUGAAAAUAAUUGUACAAUUAUAAAGUAGAUGAACUUAUUACUUCAGCACCUGGUCUAUUAAGGAACUCAUCUAUUUGGCAACCUUAUAUAUUUCAAAUAUAAUUGCAAACCAGGGAUUAAAAAGAAACCAAGCAGCUGUGAACAGCUAGAAAGUACACACUGGAUCAAGGCAACAAGGCACAGAUAAAGUAUUCUCGAGAGGGCACAGCUGGUCCUCGCCAAUUGGAUUUACUGUUACUGCAUAUACAUCAGAGUUGUGACUAUCACACAACUUAUCUGUUGUGACUGUGCACAUUAAUGACUACCAAGUUCCAAGGCAAUUCAGAUCUGCAAUCAUUGAUAUCUAAAUUCACAUAAAGGAGUGAGUACACAGGGAAAGAUUGGGGAACUCUAAAAAAAAAAAAAACCCUCAAAUUUUAUCAGUUUAUAUAAGGUCAUUUAGUGCCUGAGCCCAAAUCCUUAUCAACUUCGAUAAACUUCAGAACCAUUCUAGCCUGGCAACAGAGCUCAUUUAAGAAACGUUCAUGCUGGUGAUACUAAAUGAUGAAGAAAAUCUCAAAUGACAUUUGAUUAUUCGUUUAAGAAGAAAAAUAUAUGAAAUUACUUUCAAAACGGACAUACCAUCCUUCAGAGAAUAAAUACUCUACUAGAACCAACACUUAUCUAUCCAUAAAACAUUCCCUGACGGGUCUGUGUGACUGAGGUUGAUUAACUGCAUUUUUCACUCUUGUGAGAUAGCAUGGCCUCCUGCACAACCUGGCCUUGUGCAGGUUGAGCUGGUGCUUGCUGGGCACACGGUGCCUUCUGGGAGGUUGGGGCUGCCAGUUGGAAGCAUCUAUCAGACUGAGUCCAGCUUACAAGACCCAGUCAGAACUGAUGGGAGGUUGUGUUUCUGGUGAUAGAACUUCAAAAUAGCCUUUUCUUUUCUUUCUUUUUUCUUACAGUAACAGGUGUUUACAAAUGAAUAUGAUUCACAUAUUAGCAUGCAAAGAUUCAUAAAUUAUAUUUCUGUAAAGGACUCAGGAUCCAGACCCGUCUUAUAAACACCUGAUGAAGUUUUAAUUAAAAUGCUGACUGUUUUAGGGGCACCCGAGUGGCUCAGUGGUUGAGCAUCUACCUUUGGUUCAGGCCAUGAUCCCAGGGUCCCAGGGUCGAGUUCCAUAUUGGGCUCCCCAUAGGGAGUCUGCUUCUCCCUCUGUGUCUCUGCCUCUCUCUCGGUGUCUCUCAUGAAUAAAUAAAAUCUUUUUUUAAAAUGCUGUUUUAAUAAUGGACUAGAGGUGCCUGCUUGAGAAGCAAAAUGUAUAUAAGCAAUUUUUCCUUUAUUAAUUUAAACAUAGCCCUCCUCAUAUAGAACCAAUGAUUUAAGAGUGUAUCUACUGCUGCAUGAGAAGCAAAAAAACGUGGAAAACAUUCCCUUCAAAUUCUGAUUUAUUUCAUAUACUUACUCUGAACCCUCGGGUUUUGGAAAAUGAGCACUUCUUUACAAAUAACAUCAACUUGCAUUAAAAUGUCAGUCAAAUCUGUUUCAUCUGCUGUUUUUUCCAUCAUAAUUAUUCAGCUUGAAAAAAAAAAAAAACAGUUAAAUGAUGUCACCCUGGAAGCCUAUGUGGUAAAAUAAGGGUUAGAAGGAAACUUCUUAUUUAUAUAUUUGGUUUUAGAUGUCAACUGGAAAACAUUGUCAUUAGACCAAAUAUUAAGCCUAGAAUACUACAUAGAAGGCCUUUCUUCUCUAGAGAAGAGAAAACAUGUCAAUAAGCACUAAGGACCUGCUUAUCGAUCCUAUUGUAUAUCCAUCCCUAUAGCACACACAGGGAAUAUACAAUGGAGGAAAAGAAAAACAGAGUAGGUUCUGAAGUGACUCUGAGUCUAAUGAGGAGACAGACAUAUAUAAAGCUGCCUAACAAACAACACAGCAAGUGAUACAAGAAUCCUAUUGCCAGGCAGGCAGGCAGACAAACAGGUGCAAGGAGAGGAGCAAGUUGCUCUCUGGCCAGGGAGUGGGGAGGGAGGGAAAGGAGGAGAGGAAGAUGGUAUAGAAGUUAAAAUCCCCAGUUCCGGAAUCAGCCACCAAACCUGGCUUGUAAACCUAGCCUACUGCUUAAUAAUUAGUGCUCCUUGGGCAAAUUGUUUAUCUUCCUUGCACCUUUUAUGUAAAAUGGUAGUAAUAUCAGAACCUUCCUUCCUUGGGUUGCUUUGAAGAUUAAAUGAGGUAAUACAUGAAAAAUGUUAGCUCAGUGUCAGGGUACGAUUACCGUUAAUAACCAUUAGUCAAAAACAAAGAGAAAAAGAGGGCUAUUUUGGUUGGGGAAGACAAGUUUGGUUGAGGGAUGACUAGGCUCCACCUAGUGGGUGCAGACAUUUCUGGCAGAAGAAACAUGAGCUAGAAGAGUACAGGGGGUGGAAUUACUCAAUUACUCAGAACAAAUUACUACGGAGAGUUGACUUCAAUAGGUCUGACUCCUGCCCUCAAAGGAGCACUGGGAGCAUACUGAGCUUGGGGGCUGAAUAACAUGCUGGGGAUGACUGGUGCUACCAGUGAUGGCACAAGUGGGGGUGAGUUGCCACCCCCACUCACAAAUAUCAAGUAAAAGAGAAUAACUUACAUGUUUGAUUAUGUGCCCCAGUUUUGCACUGUCUGGGCAUUAAAUAGAUGCUUACAUGAAAUAUGAGUUGAUUUUAUUUAAAUAUAGCAGCUGACAAUCUCAGUUUAUCACUCAGCCCACAUCUUAUCUG
This 3586-nucleotide long non-coding RNA is filed under the name Canis lupus familiaris (dog). Its description in RNAcentral is "lncRNA (ENSCAFG00030006357.1)". The record is from RNAcentral. Lineage: Eukaryota; Metazoa; Chordata; Mammalia; Carnivora; Canidae.